Molecule: ribosomal RNA, 497 nt
Filed under: uncultured bacterium
Lineage: Bacteria
Description: partial 16S ribosomal RNA
Rfam family: Bacterial small subunit ribosomal RNA
Source: RNAcentral
GAUGAACGCUGGCGGCGUGCCUAAUACAUGCAAGUCGAGCGAACAGACGAGGAGCUUGCUCCUCUGACGUUAGCGGCGGACGGGUGAGUAACACGUGGAUAACCUACCUAUAAGACUGGGAUAACUUCGGGAAACCGGAGCUAAUACCGGAUAAUAUAUUGAACCGCAUGGUUCAAUAGUGAAAGACGGUUUUGCUGUCACUUCUAGAUGGAUCCGCGCCGCAUUAGCUAGUUGGUAAGGUAACGGCUUACCAAGGCAACGAUGCGUAGCCGACCUGAGAGGGUGAUCGGCCACACUGGAACUGAGACACGGUCCAGACUCCUACGGGAGGCAGCAGUAGGGAAUCUUCCGCAAUGGGCGAAAGCCUGACGGAGCAACGCCGCGUGAGUGAUGAAGGUCUUCGGAUCGUAAAACUCUGUUAUUAGGGAAGAACAAAUGUGUAAAUAACUAUGCACGUCUUGACGGUACCUAAUCAGAAAGCCACGGCUAACUACGUG